UACCAUGCAGUCGACGAUGAAGCCCUUCGGGGUGGAUUAGUGGCGAACGGGUGAGUAACACGUGGGCAAUCUGCCCUUCACUCUGGGACAAGCCCUGGAAACGGGGUCUAAUACCGGAUAACACUCUGUCCCGCAUGGGACGGGGUUAAAAGCUCCGGCGGUGAAGGAUGAGCCCGCGGCCUAUCAGCUUGUUGGUGGGGUAAUGGCCUACCAAGGCGACGACGGGUAGCCGGCCUGAGAGGGCGACCGGCCACACUGGGACUGAGACACGGCCCAGACUCCUACGGGAGGCAGCAGUGGGGAAUAUUGCACAAUGGGCGAAAGCCUGAUGCAGCGACGCCGCGUGAGGGAUGACGGCCUUCGGGUUGUAAACCUCUUUCAGCAGGGAAGAAGCGAAAGUGACGGUACCUGCAGAAGAAGCGCCGGCUAACUACGUGCCAGCAGCCGCGGUAAUACGUAGGGCGCAAGCGUUGUCCGGAAUUAUUGGGCGUAAAGAGCUCGUAGGCGGCUUGUCACGUCGGAUGUGAAAGCCCGGGGCUUAACCCCGGGUCUGCAUUCGAUACGGGCUAGCUAGAGUGUGGUAGGGGAGAUCGGAAUUCCUGGUGUAGCGG
Molecule: ribosomal RNA, 611 nt
Filed under: Actinomycetales bacterium A326
Lineage: Bacteria; Bacillati; Actinomycetota; Actinomycetes; Actinomycetales
Description: bacterial SSU rRNA
Rfam family: Bacterial small subunit ribosomal RNA
Source: RNAcentral